AAUUCCGCGCGAUUACCAUAUUUUUGUGUGUUAUAGCCCACGCCUUUCGAGUGGUCCCGGGACCACCUGACCCCUAUCGCCUAAUAUUUUUCCGGACUAUCAAAUACGACCUAAGGAAUCAUAGUAUCCGCCCCGCCAUGAUCGUUCCUCAUUUUUUGCGUUUUUCGUCCAAAAAACUAGAAUUUCGCGCGAUUUGCAUAUUUUUGUGCGUUAUAGCCUACACCUUCCGAGUGGUCCCGGGACCUCCGGACCCCUAUCGCCUAAAAUUUUUUCGGACUAUCAAAUACGACCUAAGGAACCAUAGUAUCCGCCUCGACAUGAUCGUUCCUCAUUUUUUGCGUUUUUCGGCCAAACAACUAGAAUUUCGCGCGAUUCCCAUAUUUUUGUGUGUUAUAGCCCACACCUUCCGAGUGGUCCCGGGACCUCCGGACCCCUAUCGCCUAAAAUUUUUCCGGACUAUCAAAUACGACCUAAGGAACCAUAGUAUCCGCCUCGCCAUGAUCGUUCCUCAUUUUUUGCGUUUUUCGGCCAAACAACUAGAAAUCCGCGCGAUUCCUAUAUUUUUGUGUGUUAUAGCCCACGCCUUCCGAGUGGUCCCGGGACCUCCUGACCCCUUUUCGCCUAAUAUUUUUCCGGACUAUCAAAUACGACCUAAGGAACGAUAGUAUCUGCCACGCCAUGAUUGUUCCUCAUUUUUUGCGUUUUUCGGCCAAACAACUAGAAUUUCGCGCGAUUCCCAUAUUUUUGUGUGUUAUAGCCCACGCCUUUCGAGUGGUCCCGGGACCUCCGGACCCCUAUCACCUAAAAUUUUUCCGGACUAUCAAAUACGACCUAAGGAACCAUAGUAUCCGCCUGGCCAUGAUCGUUCCUCAUUUUUUGCAUUUUUCGGCCAAACAACUAGAAUU
Molecule: long non-coding RNA, 905 nt
Filed under: Nicotiana tabacum (common tobacco)
Lineage: Eukaryota; Viridiplantae; Streptophyta; Magnoliopsida; Solanales; Solanaceae
Description: long non-coding RNA (NTAB_LNC001071)
Source: RNAcentral